UAUUGUUAACAAAUAGUUCUUGACUUGAUAGUGAUAAACAUGGUAAGAUAAUUUGGUAAGCCAAUCGUAAAGAAAUUAAUAUUAUUAUCGCGGGAUGGAGCAGUUCGG
Staphylococcus saprophyticus is the source of this 108-nucleotide non-coding RNA. The record is from Rfam. NCBI's taxonomy places the organism in Bacteria, Bacillati, Bacillota, Bacilli, Caryophanales, Staphylococcaceae.